CACAAAGACUCUCUCAAUGCUAACAAGUACCAUACCAUAUGCUUGCCCUUAUUUUUAAUCACCACUAUAAUGACUACACUUGGUUUGACACGCCCCAAAAUAGGGCCAUAUCAUAUGGGCACCUGAAGCCCACAUAGAUCGGAGGUUGCCCCAAUACCCAUCAUAAUCAUCACAUCAAUCAUAAGGGUUGGGUGAAUCCCGACCAUUU
RNAcentral lists this long non-coding RNA (208 nucleotides) under Capsicum annuum. RNAcentral describes it as "long non-coding RNA (CANN_LNC019743)". Lineage: Eukaryota; Viridiplantae; Streptophyta; Magnoliopsida; Solanales; Solanaceae. The record is from RNAcentral.